Myotis davidii is the source of this 384-nucleotide long non-coding RNA. RefSeq lists it as uncharacterized. NCBI's taxonomy places the organism in Eukaryota, Metazoa, Chordata, Mammalia, Chiroptera, Vespertilionidae. The record is from RefSeq and is a predicted model, not a curated record. The transcript is spliced from 3 exons.
CAGCAUUAUACAUGUACUGCAGAUAACUUGGACAAAAGAGGAGGUAUAGAGAAGAAUUUCACAGGUACCUUCUAUGUGAUUUACACAGUGAAUGGCCCUGCUUUCCGAGCAAGUUAAUGAUAUAAUAUCCCCAUUUAUAUUCAGAGCAGUCAACACUUUCUAGCUCUCAGAAUAAUAAAAGCACCUGCAUUUAAUAUACAUGGAAGAAUGGGAAGGCGAAUAGCAGAUAAGGCACAAUCAGUAACAUGGACUGAUCACUGAUCAGAAUGAUGAAUUAACUUAACCCCCCGAGGGAGCUUUAUUCACCCAAGAAGUUGUUAUGUAUAUUCUGAAUACCAAGGAUGGAACGAGAACUAAUUUUCAGAAGAUUUCGAGUGGCAAGAG